CCUACGGGAGACAGCAGUAGGGAAUUUUCGGCAAUGGGGGGAACCCUGACCGAGCAACGCCGCGUGAACGAAGAAGUUAUUCGUAAUGUAAAGUUCUUUUAACAGGGAAGAAAGAGAAAUUUGACGGUACCUGAAGAAUAAGCUCCGGCUAACUACGUGCCAGCAGACGCGGUAAUACGUAGGGAGCGAGCGUUAUCCGGAACUAUUGGGCGAAAAGGGUGCGUAGAUGGCAUAGUAAGUCUUUUGUAAAAAUGCUGGGCUCAACCCAGUAGGGCAAAAGAUACUGCAAAGCUAGAGUAUGACAGAGGUAAGUGGAACUACAUGUGUAGCGGUAAAAUGCGUAAAUAUAUGUAAGAACACCAGUGGCGAAGGCGGCUUGCUGGGUCGAUACUGACAUUGAGGCACGAAAGCGUGGGGAGCAAACAGGAUUAGAUACCCCAGUAGUC
This 446-nucleotide ribosomal RNA is filed under the name uncultured bacterium. RNAcentral describes it as "partial 16S ribosomal RNA". It matches the Rfam family "Bacterial small subunit ribosomal RNA", at positions 338 to 795 of the family's 1533-position model. The record is from RNAcentral.